Molecule: long non-coding RNA, 331 nt
Filed under: Brassica napus (rape)
Lineage: Eukaryota; Viridiplantae; Streptophyta; Magnoliopsida; Brassicales; Brassicaceae
Description: long non-coding RNA (BNAP_LNC000414)
Source: RNAcentral
GCGUUGCACUUAAGAGUGCCUUCGCAGACCAGUCAAGCUUUAAGAGCGAAAGCGGUUUGUGUUCUAUUCUUAUUUUCCUUAAAACAUCAAAUGUUACAAAGUCGCUGCCAAUUUUAUGGGCAAAAAUCAAAGUGUUUUCUCUACUCUCUACCAUGGAACUCUCUUCCCGCCGGCCAUCUUAAGCCACACCUCCUCCGCUAAGCUUCUGAGACCACCUCUCACUUUCUCAUAGUUAGGUUUUUGCUUCCUUGGAGAACAUCAAUCGCCUUUUCUUCUCCUCCUCGAUUUCGAAGUACGGUGUCUCAAUCUCAGCAUCACGAAUCAAUGUCCU